UGGGGAAUUUUGGACAAUGGGCGAAAGCCUGAUCCAGCAAUGCCGCGUGUGUGAAGAAGGCCUUCGGGUUGUAAAGCACUUUUGUCCGGAAAGAAAUCCUUGGCUCUAAUACAGUCGGGGGAUGACGGUACCGGAAGAAUAAGCACCGGCUAACUACGUGCCAGCAGCCGCGGUAAUACGUAGGGUGCAAGCGUUAAUCGGAAUUACUGGGCGUAAAGCGUGCGCAGGCGGUUUGCUAAGACCGAUGUGAAAUCCCCGGGCGUCAACCUGGGAACUGGCAUUGGUGACUGGCAGGCUAGAGUAUGGCAGAGGGGGUGAGAAUUCCACGUGUAGCAGUGAAAUGCGUAGAGAUGUGGAGGAAUACCGAUGGCGAAGGCAGCCCCUCGGCAGUCAACUGACGCUCAUGCACGAAAGCGUGGGGAGCAAACAGGAUUAGAUACCCUGGUAGUCCACGCCCUAAACGAUGUCAACUAGUUGUUGGGGAUUCAUUUCCUUAGUAACGUAGCUAACGCGUGAAGUUGACCGCCUGGGGAGUACGGUCGCAAGGCUAAAACUCAAAUG
This 561-nucleotide ribosomal RNA is filed under the name uncultured bacterium. RNAcentral describes it as "partial 16S ribosomal RNA". It matches the Rfam family "Bacterial small subunit ribosomal RNA", at positions 355 to 907 of the family's 1533-position model. The record is from RNAcentral.